RNAcentral lists this ribosomal RNA (253 nucleotides) under uncultured bacterium. RNAcentral's name for it is "partial 16S ribosomal RNA". It matches the Rfam family "Bacterial small subunit ribosomal RNA", at positions 524 to 776 of the family's 1533-position model. The record is from RNAcentral.
UACGGAGGAUGCAAGCGUUAUCCGGAUUCAUUGGGUUUAAAGGGUGCGUAGGCGGCUUUUUAAGUCAGUGGUGAAAUCUUGCCGCUUAACGGUAAAAUUGCCAUUGAUACUGAAGAGCUUGAGUACAAUUGAGGUAAGCGGAAUGUGUAGUGUAGCGGUGAAAUGCUUAGAUAUUACACAGAACACCAAUUGCGAAGGCAGCUUACUAAACUGUCACUGACGCUGAUGCACGAAAGCGUGGGGAGCGAACAGG